Molecule: long non-coding RNA, 291 nt
Filed under: Elaeis guineensis (African oil palm)
Lineage: Eukaryota; Viridiplantae; Streptophyta; Magnoliopsida; Arecales; Arecaceae
Description: long non-coding RNA (EGUI_LNC010524)
Source: RNAcentral
GGCUAAUCUUCGAGGUAGGCUCUCGGAGCAUCGCUUCCUUUUAAGAUAGCAAGAGAUACUGUAGAGGUAGAAGUCUAGGAUUCAGUAGAUCAGGAAAAGGGAUCGAAAUACGAGAUUCUUUCAUUAGGCCACCAUCAUCAAGAGACAUUGGAACCAAGUCUAGGUGAUCAAAGGGGCUAAUGGUCAGUGGAAGACUAAGGAGGAGGAGGUUAGACAGGAGCUAGUUCAGUUUUUCAAAUCAAGAUGGACGAUGUCCUUAGGUGGGGAUGAUGCUUUUUGGUCCCCUCCCCC